GAGGGUAUAGCUCAGUAGUAGAGCUCAUGCUUGGCAUGCACGGGGUCCUGGGUUCAAUUCCCAGUACCUCCA
Molecule: transfer RNA, 72 nt
Filed under: Camelus bactrianus (Bactrian camel)
Lineage: Eukaryota; Metazoa; Chordata; Mammalia; Artiodactyla; Camelidae
Also listed under: 2 other names
Rfam family: tRNA
About the family: Transfer RNA (tRNA) molecules are approximately 80 nucleotides in length. Their secondary structure includes four short double-helical elements and three loops (D, anti-codon, and T loops).
Source: Rfam by way of RNAcentral